Molecule: ribosomal RNA, 253 nt
Filed under: uncultured bacterium
Lineage: Bacteria
Description: partial 16S ribosomal RNA
Rfam family: Bacterial small subunit ribosomal RNA
Source: RNAcentral
UACGAAGGGUGCAAGCGUUACUCGGAAUUACUGGGCGUAAAGCGUGCGUAGGUGGUGAGUUAAGUCUGUCGUGAAAGCCCCGGGCUCAACCUGGGAAUGGCGAUGGAUACUGGCUCGCUAGAGUGCGGUAGAGGAGAGUGGAAUUCCCGGUGUAGCAGUGAAAUGCGUAGAGAUCGGGAGGAACAUCAGUUGCGAAGGCGGCUCUCUGGACCAGCACUGACACUGAGGCACGAAAGCUCGGGGAGCAAACAGG